UUGCUACCAUUGUGUUCUUGAGUAGAUAG
Molecule: non-coding RNA, 29 nt
Filed under: Mus musculus (house mouse)
Lineage: Eukaryota; Metazoa; Chordata; Mammalia; Rodentia; Muridae
Source: RNAcentral